RNAcentral lists this long non-coding RNA (599 nucleotides) under Phasianus colchicus (ring-necked pheasant). RNAcentral describes it as "lncRNA (ENSPCLG00000015225.1)". Lineage: Eukaryota; Metazoa; Chordata; Aves; Galliformes; Phasianidae. The record is from RNAcentral.
AUAGAAAUGAGUGACUGUGGUGACAGCCAUCAUCAGGGUCAUGGCAUUAGACUAGCAGGAGGCGGCAUUUAUUCACAAGUUUACAUAAAUGGAAACAUGGCAUUCGUCAUGUCUUGGCCAUACCAGAAGAAUUUGGUUUGGAGGCAACCUUGGAGAAGCACACAGACUGUUUGAUUUUAUCCGAAAGCUACUUUUCAAGAUAUGGAAGACUGAAGAAUUUUACAAGAGCAUGUUAACCUUUAACCUGUGUGUUUGCAAUAAGGAGAUCUUUACUGGAAUGAAAAGACAUUGUAUACUAGCACUAGAGCUAUAAAGGCAAGGAUUUGCUCUUUAUGCAUAUACCAAAGACACUGUGGCCUCCCACUCAGCAGCCCACAGGGGAAAAAUCCUAUUUUGCAGGAAAAAAAAGUUGUUCUUCUUGUUAGAUAUUUUCUUAGUAUAACUGUGUUGGGUAGGGCUUAGACCUUUGUACUCUCCCUGAACAAAUUCCUUGUAGUGAAAACCUAUAUGAAUACUGCGUUUUUACAUCUAAUGUCUGCAUCUGGAGGCCAUGUGCCAGUGUCAUAUCUUCUUGGGAUGUGCUUUCUCCUCGUUUCCUA